GGCCCAUUAGCUCAGUUGGUGAGAGCGCAGUUCUCCUAACACCAAGGUUGUCGGUUCGAUUCCCACAUGGGCCA
Hipposideros armiger (great roundleaf bat) is the source of this 74-nucleotide non-coding RNA. NCBI's taxonomy places the organism in Eukaryota, Metazoa, Chordata, Mammalia, Chiroptera, Hipposideridae. The record is from the annotation of a RefSeq genome assembly.